ACACUGUUAUAUCAAACAAAGCAAGAAAAAGGUCAGUAAGAAGAAAAUUUUAACUGAAACAGGAACUAGUGAUAACGAUGAUAAUGAUGCAUGAAAAAUCCUGGACCUGGACGAAGAAACAAAGUGAAUGAAAAGUAAAGUGAAUUUUACAGAGUAGAAUGGUAUCCCCCCUCUCAGGUCAGCCCUGCUCUUUAAAACAAACACAUGCCCACAGAUUGAGAUUCGCAGCUAUAACUCCUAAAGUCCCAUUGUCUUUUCCUGGGAAUCCACUUAAGCAACUCAAAGAGAAUUGCUCUGUCCGGACUGAGGAGACUACUUUACAAGGCUAUAUCAGAAAGCAUUUUGUAUGGUCUCAAUGUAGUAUGUUUUACAAAGAUAGCAGAAUACUGAUAAGAGCAGAAUAUGAAACAAUCUCCAUCUUGGCUUUAAUUUCUACCAAACCUCCCCAUGAUGGUCCCAUUGUCUUCUCCGCCACAAUCCCCUAAGCAUCCAAAUCAACUAAACUACAUGUUGAUCACUAAUGAGAAAAAAUAGAAAAAAUUUUAACCUCUCCCAGGAAGUUGAAUUCCAUUUAUUUUAUUUUUAGCACCUUCUGUAGACCAUGAUGAGUUAAAGAGUCUAUGAAUCAUGUCCUGCCAUAGACCAAUUUUCAUCUUCCUAUUGAAUUAUCCACCCUAAACUUAAUUUAUCUAGCAUCAUAAACCAAACCACUAACUCGAGUUGAACUUGGCUUGGGCUCAAGAGCAUGAAGAGCUAGACAAUGGCUCAAUACGCAUGGUUGAAUGAUCAUUUCUCAUGCUUGACCAAACUUAACUAGAUCAUGUAAAUUUGUAACUAUGGUUAUAGUAAAACUAAACAUUAAGUUAAGAUCACAUAUAUGGUAGUCAACAAAAAGGUAGAGCCAACCAAAGCUUGGAUUAGGUACAGUAAUUUAUUGUGAGCCUCAUUUAGAUCAAGAUCAGCCAGCACCUAGUUAAGCUUGCUCAGGUUGUAGAUAAAAUUCAAUGCGAAGUUAAAGCAGAUGCAUAAAACGAACAACAAGGAGGGACAGAAGGCAGGAAGCUUAACAUGAUCUUCCUAAAAUUGGGCUGUUUCUUAAGAAGGGAUGUGUUGCAAACUCUCUCUUUGUUAAGAAUCAAAAGUACCAGACAUUGAUGAAUGUGAAAACCAAGUCAGGAACAAUAAACAAGUAGAACCCAAUUCUCAAAACAGGGACUAGAAGACAGGGUUCUCUGGGAAAACAUAUUAAGUUUAAGGUUUGGAGUUGGUGGGCGAUAAUGGCAGAAGAAAAAAAAAAGAGAACACAAAGUCAAUGCAACUUGAAGCUUUAAGCAAAGAAACAAAGAGGGGGAAAGCAAAAAAUUGGAAAGGAAUUUCGAAUAGUUUUGUUUAUUUAUUUUAGAAAUAAUAAGAAAAAAUAAUUAUAAUAAAAACUAUUUAAAGUCUUCAUAUUUUUAAUUUAUAAUAAUAUUUGAGAAAUAAAAUAAAAUAAAAUAUUAAAUUUAAGCUUAAUAUUUAUUUUUUUCCCAGCUUCUUACAAAAUUUUCAUAAUUUAAAAUGAAAAGGUUUACUAAUUUUUCUCUAUUUUAUCAUCAUGCCUAAAACUUUCCAUGAUUUAGAUAAAGAUAAAAGGGUAUAAAAGUGAAAAUAAAAAGUAAAGGAAAGUAAGAUUCUUUACUAAUAAUUGUUUUUGAAAACAAUAAUUAAAUAGUAAAAUUCUUUAAAAUAAUAUUUUAUUUUUAAAAACAGAAACUGUUUUUAAAUCAUUCGGAAAAACUGAUCUUGAAUUUUAAUAUCUUUAAUUUUUCUUUUAGGUCGGCUAAAAAUUAUUGAAAAAAAUAAAAAUAAAUAAAACCCACUUGAUUUGUUCAUUAAUGGCUGCUUCACACUCCUCGGAAUAGCCUUGGCGAGCAAGCGAAUGUUGAGGAGAAAUCGGAACAAGAAAAUCCUCCUUCUUCAACUCUUCAAACGGCUGAAAUACCACUCUACUAGUCGACAACUCAUUACUUCUCUCUCCUGAUCCCCUCACCACCAAUCCAUUAUUCCCUCUUCUCCUCUGCCACCGAGAAGUACAAGAGGAAGAAGAGCCGAAGCUACCAAAAAGAGGACUUCCAAGACCCUCCCCUGACGACCCUAAGAGAGAAACAACUGAAACACCUCCCACAAGCAUGGCUAAUUCUAUCACAGAAAUAAAGAAAAGACGAGAAAGAUGCAGAUGAGAGGUGAAGUGAUGAAGAGGCUGAUGAUAUAAUAUAAGCUCCCUUUGAGAGAGUUCCAUUCUGAUGGGGCUCAUUUUGGAGCGUAGGAUGAGAACAGAGGUGGAGGGAGGAGGUUGCACCACGUGUAGAGGGCGUGUGGCGAGCUCGUGGUUUAUCCAAGAUGCCAUGGAAUCUGACCAAAUAUCUGCUUCACGUAGCGAUCCAAAUACGGUUUCACUCCACGACUAGAGUUUUGGGUCAAAAUGGCCCAUUUUUUAAACUUAAUGUUGAAAAUAGGCACAUUUUUAAACUAUUGUUCAAAAUGGUCUCUUUGAUGCCACGUAGAUUCCACAUCAUUAAAAAAUAUUUUUUUUCAUCAUUAUAGUGAAAGCCGCAGUUGGGAAACGCAACUUCAUUUUUGUACUUCAUUUUUGUACUAAAACCACAGUUGGAAAACGCGACUUUAUUUUUGUACUAAAGCCGCAGUUGACAAACGCGACUUCAUUUUUGUACUAAAGCCGCAGUUGCCAACACAAUUUCAUUUUUUAACUAAAGUCGUAGUUGCCAACUGCGGCUUUAGUUAAUUUUUAUUUAAAUUUAAAAUUUAAUUAAAAAAUUAUUAAAUUACAAUUUAUGAAUGAAAUUUAAAAGUAUACUUAAAUAAUAAAUUAUUUAUAUUUAAAUUUAAAAUUCUAGUAUUACUUCAACAAACAUAAAUUGAUAAAUAGAAGAUAUUAUAAAUGAAUGUUUUAUUUAUUAAUAAAUUAAUAAUCUUAAAAUAAUAAAUUUAUAUAACAUAUAAAUAAUAUAUAAAAUUGUAUAAUUUAUUAAUUUAAGAUAUUUAAUUUGUUAAUUUUUAAGAUAUUAAUUUAUUUAUAUUAUGAUAAAUUUAUCUUUAUCGAAAUAAUAAUAUAGUAGUUAAUAACUGAGAUUUCAAUUAUAAUAUUUUUUUUACUUUCAAAUUUAAUUAAAACUAUUAAAUUAAAAUUUAUGAUUGAAAAUUUAAAAAUAUACUUAAAUAAAAAAUUAUUUAUAUUUAAACUUAAAAAUCUAGUAUUAUUUCAACAAACAUAAAUUGAUAAAUAGAAGAUAUUAUAAAUGAAUAUUUGAUUUAUUAAUAAAUUAAUAAUCUUAAAAUAAUAAACUUAUAUAACAUAUAAAUAAUAUAUAAAAUUGUAUAAUUUAUUAAUUUAAGAUAUUUAAUUUUUUAAUUUUUAAGAUAUUAAUUUAUUUAUAUUAUGAUAAAUUUAUCUUUAUCGAAAUAAUAGUAUAGUAGUUAAUAACUGAGAUUUCAAUUAUAAUAUUUUUUUUUUACUUUCUAAUUUAAUUAAAAACUAUUAAAUCACAAUUUAUGAUUGAAAUUUAAAAAAUAUACUUAAAUAAAAAAUUAUUUAUAUUUAAACUUAAAAAUCUAGUAUUACUUCAACAAACAUAAAUUAAUAAAUAGAAGAUAUUAUAAAUGAAUGUUUUAUUUAUUAAUAAAUUAAUAAUAUUAAAAUAAUAAAUUUAUAUAAUAUAUAAAUAAUAUAUAAAAUUGUAUAAUUUAUUAAUUUAAGAUAUUUAAUUUGUUAAUUUUUAAGAUAUUAAUUUAUUUGUAUUAUGACAAAUUUAUCUUUAACAAAAUAAUAACAUACUCUUAAGCCGUAGUUGUCAUAUAUAGAUUUUUUUACAAAAUUAGUUAAUGAAAUUAAUUAUAAAAAGUCUACUAAAAAAUGUAAUUUUUAAUAGUUUAAUUAAAGUCACAAAAAAUAUCCACUAAACAUUAAUAUAGUGGAAAAUAAAAAACAUAUAUAAUCUCACAUGCCUCCACAAGGAGAGAACCUAUGUUGGUACUCUCUUCCUUUUUGGACAAAAACCUAUAUAUAAUCACACAUGAUAAAAUUUAUUUCUCACAUGGAUACAAUUGGCCGGAUAAAUGCCGAGGCUAGAAAUUGGUUGGAGCAAAUUCCUCUUGAAAAAUGGGCACUCUCAUAUGAUGGUGGGCGGAGAUAUGGGAUUAUGACAACUAAUAUGUCUGAAGUUUUUAAUGAUGUCAUUAAGGGUGCUCGUAACUUACCAAUAACAGCUUUAGUCCAGUUAACUUUCUAUCGGGUUAACAGUUACUUCACAGUCAGGCGGGAGCAUGGUGCCAGUCGGCUCGCUUCAGGUGAAGAAUUUACUCCACAUAUUGACGCCAAGAUAAAGGCUAAAGUUGUUAAGGCGGGUGCACAUGAGGUUCUUUUGUAUGAUCAUGUGGCGGGACGUUUUCAUGUUAAAACUAGACACUCUGUUGGAAGCAGUAAUAGGAAACCUCGCACAUAUCAUGUUACCCUUCAAAUGGGGUCUUGCACAUGUAACAAAACACUUUUGUUAGGAUUCCCAUGUUCGCACAUUCUUGCUGGUUGUCAUUGUCGAGCAAUUGAAUUUCGACAAUUUGUACAAGGUUAUUACACCACACGUGCUUACCUAUCAACAUGGGCUCCCUUGUUUUAUCCCAUAUUUGAUGAGUUGGAGUGGCCUCAAUAUAAUGGACCGAUAAUUGUGUCUUCAGACUCAAUGAAAUGGCUAACUUCUGGUAGACCAAAAUCAAGUCGUUUGCAUAAUGAGAUGGAUGCAAGGGAAACUAGGACUCCACAAACAUGUGGACUUUGCAAGCAAUCGGGUCACAAUCGGCGUUCUUGUCCAAAAAGGAAGAGAGUACCAGUUACACAUAGGUUCUCUCCUUGUGGAGACAUGUGAGAUUAUAUAUGUUUUUUAUUUUCCACUAUAUUAAUGUUUAGUGGAUAUUUUUUGUGACUUUAAUUAAACUAUUAAAAAUUACAUUUUGUAGUAGACUUUUUAUAAUUAAUUUCAUUAACUAAUUUUGUAAAAAAAAUCUAUAUAUGACAACUACGGCUUAAGAGUAUGUUAUUAUUUUGUUAAAGAUAAAUUUGUCAUAAUACAAAUAAAUUAAUAUAUUAAAAAUUAACAAAUUAAAUAUCUUAAAUUAAUAAAUUAUACAAUUUUAUAUAUUAUUUACAUGUUAUAUAAAUUUAUUAUUUUAAGAUUAUUAAUUUAUUGAUAAAUAAAAUAUUCAUUUAUAAUAUCUUCUAUUUAUUAAUUUAUGUUUGUUGAAGUAAUACUAGAUUUUUAAGUUUAAAUAUAAAUAAGUAUAUUUUUUAAAUUUCAAUCAUAAAUUGUGAUUUAAUAGUUUUUAAUUAAAUUGGAAAGUAAAAAAAAGAUAUUAUAAUUGAAAUCUUAGUUAUUAACUACUAUACUAUUAUUUCGAUAAAGAUAAAUUUAUCAUAAUAUAAAUAAAUUAAUAUCUUAAAAAUUAAAAAAUAAAAUAUCUUAAAUUAAUAAAUUAUACAAUUUUAUAUAUUAUUUAUAUGUUAUAUAAAUUUAUUAUUUUAAGAUUAUUAAUUUAUUAAUAAAUAAAACAUUCAUUUAUAAUAUCUUCUAUUUAUCAAUUUAUGUUUGUUGAAGUAAUACUAGAAUUUUAAAUUUAAAUAUAAAUAAUUUAUUAUUUAAGUAUAUUUUUAAAUUUCAUUCAUAAAUUGUAAUUUAAUAAUUUUUUAAUUAAAUUUUAAAUUUAAAUAAAAAUUAACUAAAGCCGUAGUUGCCAACUGCGACUUCCUUAAAAAAUGAAGCCGCGUUUGGCAAUUGCGAUUUUAGUACAAAAAUGAAGCCGCGUUUGCCAACUGCGACUUUAGUGCAAAAAUGAAGUCGCAUUUGCCAACUGCAGUUUUAGUGCAAAAAUGAAGCUGCGUUUCCCAACUACGGCUUUAGUGCAAAAAUGAAGCCGCGUUUCCCAACUGCGGCUUUCACUAUAAUGACGAAAAAAAAUAUUUUUUAAUGAUGUGGCGCCUAUGUGGCAUCAAAGAGGCCAUUUUGAACAAUAGUUUGAAAAUGUGCCCAUUUUCAACAUUAAGUUUCAAAAAUGGGCCAUUUUGACCCAAAACUCCCACAUCUAAAUACCUUGUGCUUCUGGAAGUUGUGACUUCCAAGCUUUCGUGUGUGACCAAAUUGUUGAGGAGCCUGUCCUCCACACGAGGCUUUUCCUUAUCCUCUAUCCUACUCUUUUUUCUCAAGUCCUACAUAUCUAUCCAUAUAUAUAUAUUUCUUAUUUUUAAUAAUAUUUUUAACUAAUACUAUAUUUUUAUAAUAAUGAAAUUAUUUAAAAUAGAGAUAAUUGUACUUUUGACCCAAUUGGGUCUAAAACACAAUUAUCCCUUUAAAAUAUAUGUAUUAUAAAAUUAAUUAAUUUUAUAUUUUAAAUUCAGUAUAUAAAAACAAUUAUUAAUUAAUAUGGAUAUAUUUUUAUAAAUAAUAAUAUUACCGAUAACUAUUAUUUUAUAUAUUAUUUCUAAAUAAUAAAAUUUUUAAAAAUAUAAAUUAUUUUGUUAGUAUAUAUAUAUAUAUAUAUAUGCACACGUUAAUAUUAAAAUAAUACUAUUUUUUAUUCACUUAGCUAUUGAUUAAAAAUAUUUUGGUAUUUAUCUUGAAUUUUAAUGUUAAUUUUACUAUUAAAUAUAUAUAUAUAUAUAUAUAUAUAUAUAUAUAUUUUAAAAGUUUAUUUAAUGCCUUUCUUCCUUAUUUCACUUUGACUUUAUUUCUUAAUAUCCUUUUAAAAAUAUUUUGAUAAAUGAAUGUUUAAUUUUUUUUUUUUAUAGGUGAAAUUAAAUUAUAUCAUAUUUAACUUGUUAAAAAAACAUUUAAAAACUUAAAAAAAAUUAAAACUAUUGUGGAUUUUAUUUUAUUCAAGUUUUUUUUAAUAAAACUAUUAUCGGUUCUAUUUUAUUUGAGUGUAUUAAAUUAAUUUUUUUAAAUGAAUAAUUUUCAUUUUUCUUUAAGUUAAAUUAGUUUUGUAAGAUAAACUUUAAAAUUUAAAUAAUUUAAAAUUUAAGCGUUUUAUGUAAGCUGAAACCACGUUCACACGUUCUCAUUUCAUGAUGUGGUCCAACACUUUGACCACGUCCUCCACCAUCUCACUUCCGCUGCGGUUAAGGAGCACAUUCCAGCAAUUGCUCAACGUGGUGGCAAGAGCAACGUGGUUUGAUGGAAGCCACUGUUAUAAAGUUUUUAGUAAAUGGUCCCGAACUCACUCUGUUUUUAUCUUUAGAAACACCAUCUAAAAAAGGGAGAUUAGAGUUUGGAAAUCAAGUUUUGUUAUAAAGUUUUUAGUAAAUGGUCCCGAACUCGCUCUGUUUUUAUCUUUAGAAACACCAUCUAAAAAAGGGAGAUCAGAGUUUGGAAAUCAAGUUUUGAAACCGACUACAAUGGCUGGAGGUAAGUAAACUAUUCUUAGUCUUUUUCAGUUUUGAUUCAUGUUGCAAAUUCAUUGGAAUCAUAUAUAUAUAUAUAUAUAUAUAUAGCAUGUAAACAACUUACAUUUGGUAUCAGAGCAAGUUAAAUCUUACCUCUGUUUUGUAUUAAUUCUGAAUGAAAAUUCUUGUUAUUAUGAUCUCUCUAAAUUAUAAAAACAAUGGCUACUUGAGGCGAUCCAAAAGGUUGGUGUAAUUCUUUCAGAAAACGCCAUUACAGGCAUUCAACAAGCAGCCAUUCAGGUGCUGUUUUCGGGUGCUUUAGUAGCGCUGUUAAGGCGCCAUUGGAGACACCAUUUAGAGUGCAUUUUGGGGCUGCAACCAGUGCCAUUUCAAGCGCCAUACCAGCCCCGUUCAGGCACCACAUGCAGCACCAUUGAAAGUCCAUUUUUUUGGGGCUGCAACUAGUCCAUUUUAAGGCGCCAUACCAGCCCCGUUCAGGCACCACAUGCAGUACCAUUGAAAGUCCAUUUUUUUGGGGCUGCAACCAGUCCAUUUCAGGCGCCAUACCAGUGCCGUUUCAGGCAUCUUUUCACGCCGACAAGAGGCGCCCUUUAGGAGUGCCGUUCAGACGUUAUUCGCAGUGGUUGGAAGUCACCAGUGAGGACUUACUUGCUGGUGAUGUUGAUAGCCGGAAGGCACCCGUGAGACUCUUUAUGCCUCUGAUGUAGGUGGCUCCAUGGCUAGCUGGUGAUUAAGCAAUCCACAAGGGUGGCCAUAAAUUAGAACCUAGAGAGAGAAUGGGUUCUAUUAGGUGUUGGGCCAUGUAUUAAAUGGGAAAUUUGGGGCUUGGUAUAAAAGGCUAUUGGGCCCUUUGGGCUUAAUGCAUAAAUAAUGGCCCAUUAUGAAUACUAAGGGUUGGGUUUCUUAUGAAGCCCGCUAAAGUUUGGGUUUUAAUAUGGAUUGACCGGUAAUGGCUUAGAAAUAAAAUUUGUUGGGCCAUGGGGCUCAAUGUGGGCAUGUGGUUGAAUUUUUUAUUUUAAUUAAUUAGGCAUGGAAUUGAUUGUGUUUUAUUUGGAUUUAGGCAUUCAUUCAUAAUCUGAAACCUUUAAAUUAUUUUUAAAAUUAUCAUGUAAAUUUUAUACAUGCUAAAUAAAUAAUUAUAUAUUGUUUUAUAUGUUUGUAGCCUAAAUUAAAGUUGUAGCUCUUAAUGCAUGCAAUUAUUGCCUGAAUUUGAGUUAGAUAUAUUAAAAUUAUAUCAUAUAGUUUUAAUGUCUAGUGAAACUAUAUGAUUUUUUAAAUAAUUAAGGAAUAGCCACAACAUCCUUAAUUAUAUAAAAAUUAUAUAUUAAGUGAAUAAGGAUCACAUUAUGGACAUUAAUUGUAAUUAAUUAUAUAAAUAUGAUGAUUUUACCCCACAGGGUUUUCAUUAUGUUUAUAUAAUUAAUUAGGAUAAAAUAUUAAAAUUAAUUUUUCCUAACUUACCCACAGGAGUUAGGAAGAAUUAAUUUAAUAGGUUUAUCAUAAAGAUUAUAGACAGAAAAUAUUAAACUAUAUUCAUAAUAAAUUUCAUAAUUCAAUAAAAUAGUUUGAUAAAGUCUAUCAUAAAGAUAAUUAAUUUGAUUGAAUUAAAGAUUUAGCCCAUAGGCAAUUUUUAAUAAAAUUAGAUUAAAUUUUAAGCAUGUUCUACAUUGUGUGGACCCGCAUUUUUCACGUGCGCCCCCACUCGAUCAGCGAGACUCGCUUUUUAUUUGUGAAAAUUUAAUUUUUGGAAAAAAGUUGGAGCCGCCACUUAUUUUAUUUUUAUUUUAAAGGGAAAAUAAAGCAAGAAAGAAAAACCCUAAAAUGUGACUCCAUAAUUUUUGGAAAAAGUAUGUCUUUGAAAAAAACCCGAGUCUAAGUCUGGGGAUCAGGUUACCUAUUGGGAAGGUACCUUUAAAAGGUAGCACCCCUCGAAGCCCUAUAAAGGUCUCUACUAACUAAGUUAAGGGGAAUGUGGCAAUUAAUUGGUUAAUUAUGGAUACCUAAGUAGACUAGGUGGUUCCAAAAAAUAGCAUGCCAAACAAGAUCAAAUCAUAAUAAAGGAAGGUUAGGAUGCGUACCUGGACCGCUUCUCAAGCGCUAUCAUAAAACAUCGAUGGUUAAUUUAAACAAUAUAUCAUCCACCAUGUGUUUUAUUAGAAAUAAUCAAACAAUGAAACAUGUAUAUCAGAACACUCAAGCAUUAUUAGACAUAAGCAUUAUUUCACAAUGACAAGCAUAUUCAUAGAAUUCAGAAAGUAGGUGAUAGAAGACAUACCUGGAUAGCAUAGAUAAUUUGUAACGUGCUUCCUCAAGUUGUAAGGGGUUAGAUAAUAAAUAAUCAAAUAUAGAAAUCCUAGCAUGCUCGUUAUCUAAUUAGCAUAGCAAAAGUGAUCAAAGUAUACAGAAUCAUCAAUUAUCACAUACAUCUUGUAUAUAAUUCCUAAAAAAAUAGAUAGACAUGAUUUCAACAAGUGUCAAAUGUGGCAACAAAAAUAAAUUUUGAAAAGAUUUUCUUAUGUAGGGGUUUCACCAAUUCCCCAAUCGAUAUAAACAAAUUUAGUUUAGAAUUAUCCCAUUUAUUUGGGACCACAAGCUUUGAUUCGUGUUUUAUUCAAAACUGUAAUUUUAUUUGAAAGAUGUGAACCGAUCAAAACAUGGUUGCACAUUAUUUUUAAAAAAUGAGAUUUUGAUUCUAAGAACUCUAAAUGAAUUUUUGAAAUGGAUUGUUAAGGGGAUCUUUUGAGAAUAGUGUUAUGUUUUUAAAAAUUAAAAGAAAUUAAAUUCUUUUUUUUUUUAAAAAAAAAAAAACAUAUGAAUCAAAAUACCAAGCAUAACAAAAGAGAACAAGAUCACAAAUUAGAAUUUUUGACAACCGAGAAAAUUGAAGGUGAGAAUGGAGGCCAAUCUUCAUGAGUUUCCAAAGGUCUUAGAAAAAGAAAUCAAAUUAAGUGAAGGAUCACUAAAGCAACAAGCAAAGCAUUCUAGAUUAGACAAACUAACAAGGUAUUGAUUCAUGAACUAACCGCUAGGAUUUUAAAAGCAUAUAAAUUUAGAUAAGGGUGAUCAGGAUCUAACAUUAAUGAUUUUGAAACAAAAACUAAAAAUGGAUCAAUUCAGGCAAUGAACUAAAAUUAUAGAAGUACCUAAACUAAUUAAAACGAGUUUGACUAAAUUAAACUAAAAACGUGAACUUUCAAACAUAGAAUUAAUUUUACUAAUGAACUACAAUUAUAAAAGUGCUUAAACUAAUUAAAAUGAGCUAAACUAAAUCAAAGCAAACUAAAGAUAUGUACUUUCAAGCAUAGAAUUAAUUUUAUUGAUGAACCAAAAAUUAUAAAAGUGUCUAAACUAAAUAGAUGAAUUAAAUUAAAUCAAAGUACACUAAAAACAUGAACUUUUAAAUAAAGAAUCAAUUUUAUCAAUAAAUAAAUAAAACUAUAAAAACACAUAAACUAAUUAAAAGGAACCAAAUUAAAUCAAAGAAUACUAAAAAUAUGAACUUCCAAACAUGGGAUCAAUUUUAUUAAUAAACCAAAACUAUAAAAACACCUAAAAUAAUGAAUACAUAUUAUUAAAUCAAAGCAAACUAAAAAAAAAACUGAAACUUUCAAACAUGAGAUUAAUUUUAUUAAUGAACUAAACUAUAAAAAAUAUCUAAACUAACUAUAAUGAAUCAAAUUAAAUUAAAGUAACCUAAAAACGCAAACUUUCAAAAACAUAAAAUCAAUUUUAUCAAUGAACUAAAACUAUAAAUGUAUUUGAACUAAAUAGAUGAAUUAAACUAAAUCAAAAGUAAACUAAAGACAUGAACUUUUAAAUAUAGAAUCAAUUUUAUCAAUGAACUAAAAUUAUAAAAGUAUCUAAACUAAUUAAAAUGAAUCAUAUUAAAUCAAAGAAUACUAAAAAUAUGAACUUCCAAACAUGGGAUCAAUCUUAUUAAUAAACUAAAACUAUGAAAACACCUAAAAUAAUGAAUAUAAAUUAUUAAAUCAAAGCAAACUAAAAAAAAGACUGAAACUUUCAAACAUGGGAUCAAUUUUAUUAAUGAACUAAACUAUAAAAAAUAUCUAAACUAACUAUAAUGAAUCAAAUUAAAUUAAAGUAACCCAAAAACGCAAACUUUCAAACAUAAAAUCAAUUUUAUCAAUGAACUAAAACUAUAAAUGUAUUUGAACUAAAUAGAUGAAUUAAACUAAAUCAAAGUAAUAUAGAAUCAAUUUUAUUAAUGAACUAAAAUUAUAAAAGUAUCUGAACUAAUUAAAAUGAAUCACAUUAAAUCAAAGAAUACUAAAAAUAUGAACUUCCAAACAUGGGAUCAAUCUUAUUAAUAAACUAAAACUAUGAAAACACCUAAAAUAAUGAAUAUAAAUUAUUAAAUCAAAGCAAACUAAAAAAAACUGAAACUUUCAAACAUGGGAUCAAUUUUAUUAAUGAACUAAGCUAUAAAAAAUAUCUAAACUAACUAUAAUGAAUCAAAUUAAAUUAAAGCAACUUUUAGAUAUGAAAAGAGUGACAUGGAAGCAAUUGAACUAAUAAACUGAAUUUUAAUAACAUUUAAACUAAAAGAUAAAUUAAAACUUGAACUAAAAGAAAUUAUGAAUUUCCUAAUUGAGAACAAAAAUAAUGCUAAUCAAAAUUCUAAAUUUUUAACCAUUAUCACAAAUUAUCCAAACUCUAAAAAAUCCUAACUUUUCCAUUAUCAACAAAAUUGCCUAAACCAAUACUUUAAAAAUAAUAAUGAUAAUAAUAAGUAAAUAAAUAACAAAAAAUCUAAUUUGUCGAACUAAGAAAAUAAAUUUUAACUACAUUAAACAUAAAUCAUAAUUUUCAAGCAAGAAUAAUAAAUCAGUAAUAAUUAAUUUAGUUAGUUAAGAAAAAUUAAAAAUUAACAUCUAAGCUAAAUAUGAAUUUACAAUAAAAUAAAAUUUUAAAAUGCAUAGGCUGAAUGGGAAUAAUACAAGACUAACUUUAACGAAUUAAAAACAUGAAUACAUUGACAUUGGGAAUGAGUAACUAAAUAUAUAAAAUUCUGAAAUAAUUAUGAAUGGCAUUGAAUAGUCAUGAAUCCAAAUUAAAACAGGAAGAAUUAAUUUACCUUGGUCAAAGACGCAUGGGCUACUUUUGUUAGUGACAGUAGGAUUUUUAAAAUCAAUUCCGCCUGGUGUGGUGGAUACCAUGCACUGCAAAUACUUGCACAGUCACCAAAACAAUGCGUAUUAGUGGAGAGAAAUCUUCCCUGACAAUGUGUUGCCAUUGAGAGAAUCUGGUGGUCUCCUUUAUGUCCUCUGAGCAGCAACCCCUUAAGUUGAAUGACAUUUUCUAUGGCCACGCGAUCCCCUUUGGUGCAGCCCGCGCAUGAAGUCCUUCUUAGUGGCUGGUUUCUGGGCAUAAUCUGGCUAGCUCUUUUCAAAGUCCAGAAUGCGUGGAUGUUCUCGAUGAGAAACCCUCGUUUGGUGAAGACGAAGGUAAUCCGCGUCUUGACCGGAGUGAAGACUUCUUGAACAAUCUAUUUUUUUUUUUAAAACUAUAGCUCCUAAUAGUUCACGAAAACACGAUCUGAUCCGACUACUAUUGCGCCAUUCAAGGUAUAGUUGUGCUUCUCUGAAGUUUUUCCCAUGCGCCUACCUUCUUUCCCUUCCUUCUAUAUAUGUAUCACCCUCCAAGACCUAAAUAUGUUUCCAAAAAGGAAAAUUCUCCUAUUUCCUUUUUUUUUUUUUUUUCAAUCUUCCCUUUCAAAAGCCAUCUUCCCAAUUUCAAAUUCCUCUCCAAAAACCUUCCAUGGAGAGUCCUACAUUCCUUAAACUCCAAUGGUAAGUUUCCUUGCAAAAACAUGGAAUUUUUAAAGUUAAAUAAUUGAAUGAAUAGAUAAAUAAGUAAAUAAAUUAGAAAAUGGUAAAAAUAAUAAAUAAAUAAAUAGGUUAAGGAAAAUAAUAUAAAGAGGAAGAUAACCAAUAAAAAGUGAAUGAUAGUCAUAAAACUAAAACUAAAAUAAUAAUAAUAAUAAUAAUAAACAAAUUAACAAAAAUUUGGGCCCCACGAGCCAUGCAAACAUGCAAGUCAUACAAGUUAGGCUAAAAAGUCUUAAUGGGCCAAGUGUGCCUACAUGGGCCUAAGGUGAGACUAGGUGGGCCUAACUAAAUGGGCCAAGGGUGCCUAAAAGCUAUCCUAAAAAAAAGCAAGAAAAGCCUAAGUCUAAAUCAAGACUGCCAAUGAUCACAAUAAAGGGUCAGAUAAUCUCUUAACCAAAGUCUCCGAGAUGACUCAGAAAAAGGUAAGUUGUACGAGUAGUAAUGGGCCAACAAGGAGUUACUAUGGAGCAUUAAAAAUGAAUUUAAAAACAUGUGCUAAAGGGACAAAAUUGAGGGUCUACAAAUAUGCCCCUCUUCGGUAUAGAUCACGAGUGUAGAGAAUGUGAGUAGAAACACGAGUAAUGAGCGAAAUGAAGUGAACUAUAUCGAAGAAUUAAAGAAAGACUAGAGAUUUUGUCCUAGCACAUGAAAAGGUAAGGUCAAAAGGUGGGGUCGCAAUGAGAUGGAAAGAGGUGAAAAGGGUGACUCAAAGUCAUGAAUGAGAUGAGUGAAUAUAGGUUAAGGACAAGAUGAACGACUCUAGAUCUAAAGUAGGAUAAAUGAAUCUGGGGCAUGGGCUCAGGGCUCUAAGUGAAAAGAAUGACUGGGGGUCAUAAAUGGAGGACGACUCUGGGUCGAGAGCUCUGGGCUCUAGGAGGGAAAGAAAUGACUCUGGGUCAUAAAUGGAAAACGACUCUGGGUCAAGAGCUCUGGGCUCUAAAUGGAGAAGAAAUGACUCUGGGUCAUGAAUGGAAAACGACUCUGGGUCGCGAGCUCCGGGCUCUGAAUGGAUAGCCGAUCAGGAUGCUUUCCGACUGAAGGUGCCGUGUCGAGGCCACUCACAAGUGACUAGAAUGAUGAAAACGAAACAUCUCAGGGAUGUGAAUGAUGCAAACGACUCCGGGUCGUGAGCUCAGGGCUCGGGGUGCUAUGAAUGACUCUGGGUCAUGAUGCAAUGAGUAAUUCGGGGUACGAUGAAUAGCUCAAGGCUACGGAUGGUAUGAAUGACUCUAGGUCAUGAUGCAAUGAGUAACUCAGGGUUACGAUGAACAGCUCAGGGCUAUGGAUGGAAUGAAUGACUCUGGGUCAUGAUGCAAUGAGUAACUCAGGGUUACGAUGAAUAGCUCAGGGCUAUGGAUGAAAUGAAUGACUCUGGGUCAUGAUACAAUGAGUAACUCAAGGUUAUGAUGAAUAGCUCAGGGCUAUGAGCUCUAUGACUGAUCGGCUAGAAGGAGAAUGUGACACACAAACUCCAAGUCAAACCACUCAUGGGCGACCAAAUGAUGAAGGCUCAGCUAAAAGUUGGAAAGACUCUGGGUCUAUAGGAAAUGAUAGCUCAGGGCUAUAAGACUUAGGGUCUAGAAGGAAUGGAUAGCUCAGGGCUACGAGGCUUAGGGUCUAGAAGGGAAUAAUAGAGAAGACCAACUCGAAAGUGGACAUGAGAUAAAUUGGCUCAAAGCCAUAUACUCAAAAUGUCAAGGGUCGGACUACUGAAACCAAAAAGGGAAAUAUGCCCUAGUAUCCAAGGUACUCACACUGCUGAAACAACCAGUAAACCAAUCAUCUGCUAGAAUUAAUGGGUCAAGAACCAAUACAUCAUGACAAACCUCUGAAGAGUCAAAACUGAAGGAGGCCUCUGUGUUUGAAAAACUGCUAUGUCGACGAACCUCAACAAAUCUCAAAGUGUGUAUAUCAUGGCUCAUCUAAAAGCAAAUCUCAAACUACACAAAAUGGUGCUCAUCUGGAUAACCCAAUCGACAAGAUAACAAUGAUGAUCGAAAACAAAUCCAUCUCAUGAACAUCUAGCUAAAGGAUCCACCUAUGCUCCUCAGGUGAAAUCUGAUGUGAUCCAUCUCUAUCUCAACAAAUCCAUAUAGGGGGUCUUGAUACAGUCAAUCAUCGAAAGCUCUAGGCUAGUACUCAAUCUGAAACCAAAUUGGCUACUGUCCCAAUCUCAAGGAUACUAAAAUAAAAUGGGGAAAUAUGCCCCAGUAUAAGAUCCGAUAUCAAAGUCAUGAGGUAAACAACCGACACUAAUCAUCCAUCCUCGUACCACUACCCAAACAAAAUCUCGUCAAGGAGAGGGGAAUAUGCCCCAGUAUGGAUAUCCGAUGUCAAAGUCAUGAGGUAAACAAUAAACAAUGAUCAUCCAUCCUCGUACCACUGCCCAAACACAAUCUCAUCAAGGAGAGGGGAAUAUGCCCCAGUGUGGAUAUCUGAUGUACAAUAAAGAGUCUGUCAAAAUCAACCAAACAUCUCUAUAACCAUGAAUAAGGAUAGUCAUACCGCACAAUAACAGAUAGGAAUCUCUGGGGAAGGGGGAAUAUGCCCCAGUGUGAAUAUAUAAUGCACAACCAAAGGAUGAAUCAAACAUCAUCAAUCAACUGUCCUCAGCUUAACAAUAAUCCGCUAAGAAGUCAGAAUGAAGAAUCGACCAAUGCCUCAAAGGAGACACUUUAAAUCUAAUCUUAAAUGAAUAGCCAAAAUGAAGAGGGAUGUGGUAAUCUCAAGAGUAGAAGCAUGUCUUUGAUGAAUCCCUAACUAAAUUUGAUAGGAAUAUGGUAACCUCAAAAUGGGGAAAUAUGUCCCAGUAUGCCAGAUCUAUACACUGCACUGAAAACUGCCUCCAACUCAGUAAUAAUCCACUAGUCUAUUUCAGAAAUACUCCGCGAAUGGAACCAUUAGGGGCUCAACGAUGCUCCACUAGAACUAAUAUAGUCUCAACAUACUCCACUAGGGAUCUCUGAUCGAUGAAAAUACCCAGGUUCAAAGAAAAUGCUCCACUAGGGUCUCAUCUCAACCGAACGAAAGGGGAAUAUGCCCCAGUAUGCAUAUCUGAUGUCGACAAAAGGAUGAAUCCGAUAUCAUCAAUGAACUGUCUCCAAACUCAAAAAUCCAUCAAACAUCAAUAAGUCAAGCAAGAGAAAGACCAAAUGCUUCCAAAAGUAUCUUCCAUAAAAGAGAAUAUGAUAGCGACUAUACUUCAACCAGUCUACAAAAGCCUGUCCAAGUGAAGAUUGUCAAAGAUAACGCUUGAUCUCAUGGCCUCAGGGUGGUCUUAAGACACGGGACGUAACGUAGGCCAAGGUGAUACGGUGAAAGAAAUGAAGGAAAACUAGGCUCAAACACCCAAUGAUCAAACCCAUACCCUCGUGUAUAAGAUGUAAUGCAUAGAAAAAAUCUCAUGAGCCAUGGACUUAAAGGUAACCAAAGGAAAUGUGGAUGGCGGAAUGAGAGAAAGAUGAGUAGUCAAACCAUCAAUGAAACAUGUGCAUGAUGUGAAGAAGGUAUCGAAUAAAAAAAUAUGUAUCAAUAUGUAGGAAAUGGAUAAAAAGGUGGAACAAAGAUCUGGAAAGAGGUAAUGGGAUACAAAAGAAAGCAAUGAGAAAGUGGAAUGAGUGAUGAUCAACCCAUGUUAGUACAAUAAAGGAAAGUCAUAUCACCAAUGAUGGAAUGGUGGGUGAGACAAUGAUCCGAAGACCCUAGUAAAAAGAUUACUCAUCUCUCAUACCUAGUAUAUAUCAAACAUGAUCCAAGAAGUAUAGGAUCUCAUAGAACUCUCAUAUGAACCCUCGACACUCCAAAUGCAUAACAAGAGUGGCUCAAGGAGUGAAAAACUCAUAAAAAAACUCACAAAAACCCACAACGACAAAUAUACCCAAUAAAUGAACCUCAAAAGAUGGCAUAAAUGCCCAAUGGAGCGAGAUACCAUACAUGAACAUGUCAUUGGGCUUUUUUUUUUUUUUUUGGAUGCGCAUGCUCUGAUCAUCAAUAAAUCGAACUCCAAUGGAAAAGAUACAAGGAAUGAACAAACUCUCUCAAACCACUGAUGAAUACAUGAACCCCAACCCAUGAGAGAACCUCUCAAACUAAAAUCUCCGAAUCAAUGCCAAAUGAGGGGAUGGAUGGAGUGAUAUGAUUGCCCUCUUUUGCACCAAGAUGUGAAGAAUCAUCAACCCAAGAAAUAGAAGAGAUAAGAUGAAGCAAAUAAUGAUAAACGCAAGAGAGACAAUGAAAAUGUGAUGAUAGUAAAAUAGAACAAACGGGGCGAUAAGGAGAUGAUAACAAAAUGAGAAGAUAGACCUAUAAGUCUAAAGCUCAUGAGACUUUCCUAGCAAAGCAUGCAUAUACAUCAAAGGGCCCCAACCCGAGUAUAGAAAUGGUAAUCAAGGCUAUAAGAAAGAAAUAAGGCUAUAACAUACCACGCGAAGCUCAAUGGGCUAGCAAUGGUCUAAUAUAUAGAGGUGAUAAAGUAUGAGGCUAACUGAAAUGAUGGCCACCCAUCCUGCAACCACGGUCUCAAACAUAAUACUUCUUUAGCUGAUCCACAUUGGUAGGCUCUGAAAAUUGGUUUCCAUCUAAGUCAGUCAACCAUGCAGCCCCUUCUGGAGUCAACUCUCGAAUAAAAUAAGGCCCACUCCAACUAGGUUUAAACUUUCCUCUGGGGUUUCUAAUCAAACCUCUGAGAAUCCGUAAAACUAAAUCCUCUUUUUGCAAUGGUCUAGGCUUAACUCGUUUCUUGAAGGCACGAGCCAUCUUUCUCUGAUAGGUCUGAACAUGAUCUGUUGCUCUCAAUCUCCUCUCAUCUAAAAGGUUAAGCUGAUCAAAUCGAGCCUGAGCCCACUCUGUCUCAGAAAUCUGCUGCUCAAGGGCUACUCUCAAUGAGCCCAUCUUUGUCUCGAAUGGCAAAACAACCUCCAUACCAUAUACUAGGGAGUAAGGCGUAGCUCCUAUAGAGGUACGAAAAGAGGUACGGUAUGCCCACAAUGUAAAAGGAAGCUUCUCUGACCAAUCUCGAGAAAUCUCAACCAUCUUCCUCAAAAUCCUCUUAAUAUUCUUGUUUGCAGCCUCCACUACCCCAUUGGUCUGUGGCCUAUAUGUAGAAGAUCUAUGAUGUCGGAUGUCAUACUCCUGCAAUAAGGUGUCUACCUCAGCUCGAAAGUGUGCCCCUCUAUCUGAGAUCAACUCAUGAGAAAACCCAUAACGGCAAAUGAUGUGUGAUCUGAUGAAACUGGCAACUCUAGCAGAUGUCAACCUCGUAUAUGAUGCAGUCUCCACCCACUUGGUGAAAUAAUCUAUGGCGACUAGGAUGAACUCAUGACCACUGGAAGAUUUUGGUGAAACCUUCCCAAUAAUAUCAAUUCCCCAUACUGAGAAUGGUCAGGGCGAGGUAACCAAAAAUAACUUGUCCUCAUAAUCUUACGAGCUAGCAUGUGUCCUCCCAUAUGCGGACCACAAACUCCUACAUGAACCUCUCUCAUCACUCGAUCUGCAGAGGCUCGAUCUAAACAAAAAAAAAGCAUACCGUCAGCUGAUCGUCUGUACAAGGUAUCUCCACAAAUCACAAAUCUAGUGCCCAAAUGCCUCAAUGCUCUUCGAUCCUUGACAGUGGCUAACUCAAGGUAUAUGCCAGAUCUAAGGAACUGAUAAAUGUCAUGAUACCAAGGUAGAUCAUCUUGGACCUCUGUCUCUCCAAUCAAACAACAAUAGGCGGGUACAGACCUCAACUCAAUCAGCAACGGACAUACAACUACGUCAAUCGGAAUGUCCACAGAGGAAGCUAGGGUAGCUAAGGCAUCGGCAAAUCGGUUCUGCGCUCUAGGCAGAUGAACAUAUCUCAAGUUAUCAAAUCUCGCAACCAACAACUCUAAAUAAGCAUGAUAUGACCUAAGCUUCACGUCCCUAGUCUUCCAGUCUCCCUGAAUCCGUCUGAGUACCAAAAUGUGAGUCAUCAAAUACCUCCAUCUGUCUAAUGCCAAGCUCCAAUGCAGUCUCUAAACCCAGGAUGCAAGCCUCAUACUCAACUAUGUUAUUCGUAAUAGGAUGUCGAUCAUGGAAUGCCAAACGAACAGAUCUCAGAAUAUGAUCGCCCUAAGGGGACACCAACAGAACACCUAUCCCAUACCCUAAUUGAUUGGCUGCACCAUCAAAGUACAAGCACCAUCCUGAUAUGCUAGUCAUAGCAACAAACUCUUCAUCUGAAAAAUCAUCAUCAACUGGUCUGUCCUCAGAUGUCGGUAGUGAAGCUAAGUGAUCGGCGACAAUACUUCCCUUAAUAGACUUCUGAGAAAUGUACUGAAUAUCGAACUCUGUUAAAAGUACGAGCCAUCUCAUCAAUCUACUAGUCAAUGCAGGUCUAUCAAAUAAGUAUCUCAACAGGUCUAGGCGGGAUAUCAAAUGCACUGAAUACUCUGUCAGGUAAUGCCUCAAUCUCCUGGUAGCCCAAACUAGUGCUAAGCAAAGGCGCUCAAUCAUAACAUAUCUCAUCUCAUACUCCAACAUCCUCUUACUUAGGUAGUAAAUAGCUCGUUCCUUUCCUAAGUCAUCAAUAUGAGCUAACAUACAUCCCAAGGCCAUGUCUGAAACUGACAAAUAUAGAAGAAGUGGACGUCCUGACGUAGGAGGCACUAAAACUGGAGGAGAAAGCAAAUACUCCUUGAUCUUCUCAAAUGCAAACUGACAAUCAUCAUUCCAAACUAUUGGCGGAUUCUUCCUUAAAAGACGAAAGAUGGGCUCACAUAUGUCUGUCAAUCUGGCUAUGAAUCGAUUGAUGUACUGAAAUCUGCCUAGAAAACUCCUAAUCUCUUUCUCAGUCUUCAGCGCAGACAUGUCAAGUAUAGCUUUGAUUUUAUCUGGGUCGACCUCUAUGCCUCUCUCACUGACCAUAUGUCCUAAUAAUUUCCCAGAAGUCACUCCAAAGGUGCACUUCUUGGGAUUCAGCCUCAAUCUAAACUUCUGGAUCCUCUCAAAGAAUCUCUCUAGAGCAUCUAGGUGAUCUGUUCUACCUCGGGAUUUCACAAUCAUAUCAUCCACAUAAACUUCAACAUCCAUAUGCAUCAUGUCAUGAAACAAAGUAGUAGCGACUCUCUGAUAAGUGGCUCCUGCGUUCUUCAACCCAAAUGGCAUAACCCUGUAACAGUAGGUACCCCACUCAGUAAUAAAGGCUGUCUUCUCCAUAUCCUCUAGAGCCAUCAAAAUCUGAUUAUACCCUGAAAACCCAUCCAUGAAAGACAACAUCGAAUGGCCUGCGGUGCUAUCAACCAACAAAUCAAUAUGUGGGAGAGAGAAGUCCUCUUUAGGACUGGCUUUAUUAAGAUCUCUGAAGUCCACACAAACUCUAACUUUGCCAUCCUUUUUGAGUACUGGGAUGACAUUAGCCAACCACUCUGGAUACUUAACCACUGAUAUGAACCCAACACUGAGCUGUUUCUGAAUCUUCUCUUUCACUUGUAGACUCCAAUGUGGAUGCAACCGUUUCAAUUUCUACUUAACUGGUCUAGCAUGUGGUAGGGUAGGUAAAUGGUGCUGGACUAUAGAGGGAUCGAGACCUGGCAUGUCCUCAUAAGACCAUGCAAAGACAUCAAAGUAUGACCUGAGUAAAUGAAUGAGUCUAUCUCUCUCAUCUGUAGAUAGGGGUGAACCAAUCUUCAACUCUCUAGGCUGAUCCUCUGUGCCAAAAUCAACAGUUUCAACGUCCCCUGUAGCAGGUGAAACUCUCACAUCUUUGGGAUCAGAGUCAUGAUCAAAAGAGUCCCUAUCUGAACCGGGCUGUGCAAUCUCAUCAUCUAUAUCAAAUAUCUGUGUGAUGGGUGAGUGGGGUGCAGAUGUAGAGAUACUAUCUCAAGAGACAGACGAAUACUUAAAAAUGCUCAAAUCCAUAAAUGUAGCAAUAGAAACAUUGUCAGAGCGGGAGACAAAUCCCGAUAAAACAUCAAAAGAAAGAGGUGGGUCCACAAGGUCGGACGCUCCCCAAUUGGGCUAACAAUGCCCUCAAACAAAUUACUAUCAUCCUCUAGAAGCUCUAGAAUGGGAAGAGUCUGAGUCCCCUCAAGAACCUCAAUGGUAGACACCCCAAACAUAUCAAAUGCUGAAACAGGCUGAAGUUGAACAAUGCUGGUAAUCUGGCUCAUGGUCAUCAUGUCUAUCUCAUCUCGGUACUCAACAUGGGAAACAACUCCAUCAAUCAUCUCAGUAGAAUCAACAAUCACUCCAUCAUCAGUGAUCUCCUCUGGAAAGCAUAGAGACAACAUGCUAGCUUGAUUUGGAGAUGUGGGAGUAAUCGUCAUAGGGAAAGAAGUGUCGGGAGCCCCAUCACUCAACUAUAGCUGGUGAAACAAAUGCUGAAGAUCGGUCUCUCUAUCUAUAUGAACCACACUAUUGAUCUCCUUUAGACGAGGUCGAGUCUCUGAUCCUUUGACAAAGUAAUUAGCCAAACUUAUCCGAUAAGGUCGAACAGGAUAAUCAAAUGGUGUGUGGGAUAAACGGGCUCUCACCCUUUCCUUGCGCAGCCGCCCCAUGUAACGGUAAUCAGCCUCAGUGGGGAUGAAUCUAAGUCCAAAAGUCGUAUCAUGGUCAAUGGCAGCUAUGAACUCGCCUGGUCCCUGCUGACGUCAUCCUAACCCCAUGCCAGGUAGAAAGGUCAUACCCCUCAUCAUAUCAAGGACCACUGUGCUGCUAUGCUGAUUAAAAGACAUAGCUACAAAAUCUCUGCAAAAAUCCUUAAUCUCGAGAGUCUGUAUCUCAUCAAAAGUAAACCCAGUCAGAAGUGGGUCGUCCUCAUUGUGACUGAUCUGAAGUAUUGUCUCAGAAACGGAAAAUAUAUCCCUGGUAGACCGCAUUGUGAUGACUUGCCCAUCAUGAAUGAACUUCACUUCUGAUGAAGGGAAAAAGGAAUAGCUCCAGCUAUAUGAAUCCAUGGUCGGCCUAGUAGCAGGUUAAAGGAUGUGGGAAUCCUCAAAACUUAGAACAAAGUAGAGAAUGUGGCUGGACCAAUCUGCAAAUCAAUCAUCAAGGUACCCAUAACCUCCCUCUUGGUGCUAUCAUACGCCCUGACUGUUUGAGUAGAAGGACCAAAAUCUGAAGGCGCGAAACCAAGGGCUAUAGCAGUGGCUAAAGAGCAAACAUUCAGGGCUGAGCCGUUGUCCAAUAGGACAGACGAGACUCUAUGGCCUAAACGUCCGACUGUGAUGUAUAGAGGGCGCACGUGGUCUAAACCAUCAGGUGGCAAGUCAUCAUCUGAAAACACAAUGCAAGUGGCCCUGCCGGCUGUCAUCAUAUGAAUCAAUCUCUCGGGAGUGGUGGUAGUCUCUACUCUGAUCUGACUCAAGGCUCGAAUCAAAGCAUCUCUAUGAGUACUGGAUGAUGCUAAUAAAAUCUAGAUGGAAAUGCGAGCUUGAGUGCUCUGUAACUGUCUCAAAACCUCAUCAUCCUCUCUCCUAACCUCCUCAUAAGAGACUGCACCCUCAAACGGUCUGAUUGCUGGUGGUGGUGGCUGAGCUAUCCUCCCACUACGAGUCACAAUCUGUACCUCUCUCCCCUUUGAAUCAUCAUCCUCUGGCCAUGAAGUGAAUGAGACAAAAGCAUCCUGACAUCCGAUAACAAAGGGUGUAGGAUGAGUCAACUGGAAUGGUGCCUCGUAUGGGAUCAAACUGAAUGGUGCAGAAGUCUGAGGGACCAAUGAAACCCCAUCAAUCUCAUAACUAUCAUGCAAAACAAUUGGCUCGGGUAAUCCAUCAUCCCAACUCAACAUGUGUAUACUGUCAUCCUCUAUAAGGUCCAUGUGAUGAAUAUCUCCUGAAGAUGGAGACACUGCGUGUGUAGAAUGAGCAGGAAGAGGGUUCAUAGUCACACUUGGUUGCCCCAAGUUGACCAAACCUUGGUCUAUCAAGUCCUGAAUAGCAUGUCUCAAAGCAGUGCAAUGGUCCGUGUCAUGCCCUGGUCCCUGAUGGUAGGAACAAUGUAAGUCCAUCCUAAAGCGAGGUGGUAUAGGCUGGGGUAAAGGCCUCGAUGCUAAUGGAAUCAAUAAUCCACCCUCUGUGAGCUUCUGAAAGGCUCGACUCAAAGGCAUACCCAACUGAGCAAACUGACAUGGUGGCCUCUGCACAUAAGUAGUGGUCUCUGGAGCUCGGGGUUGAGUAUAUAGGGCAGGAGGCCUCUCUGUGACAUGUGUAGCAAAAAUAGGCUGUGAGACUGGAUGUAGAUAGGUAAAGUCAUAGGUCUGGAAGGAGCAGGCGACCUGUAAUGCGCAUGAGGUGAGGAUGGAUAGUAGAACCCAGGAGUCUGCCCAACUGUCUAAUAGCGUCUAGGAGGCCUCAUCCCUACUGAACUGAUAGCACCAACAUCUCCUGAUCUCUGUCUUCUUAAAGGCUUCUUCCCCUUAGAAUCAGUAGGGGAAGACUUAGACAAUAAUCCUCUAGCAAUGCCCUUCUCUAUACCAUACAAAGCCUGUACCAAAGAUCUAAAAUCCGUAUGAGGAAAUCCAAUCAAGUGUUUAGCGAAUCUAGGUUGUAAGCUCUUUAUGAUCAUGCUAAUCUGAUCUCUCUCUAAAGGACAGUCUAUAAUCUAAGAAAUCUUCUCCCUCCAGCGGGAGAUAAAUGAAGUAACUGACUCCUCUGACCUCUGUCUCAAAGCUUCCAACUCUCUCCUCAAAACAUCAAUGACAGUGUUAAAUGCAAACUAUCUCAAAAACUUCUGGGUUAAGUCAUCCCAAGUCCUACGGCGUGAUACCUCUAAUGAAGUGAACCAACGCUGUGCAACACCACUCAAUAACAUAGGGAAAAGCAUAACCAUCUAGGCCUCAUCCAGUCCAUGGGCCCUCAUAACCGUACUAUAGAGUCUCAAAUGAAUGCGAGGACAACCUAUGCCAGUGUAUCUCUCAAUCUCAAGUCAGCUCUCUAUGAUAUGUACCCCACCAUUUCCAAAUGACAAUAUUGUCCUUGGAUGACCAUGCUCCACUAACAUAGUCUGCCCAAGCUUGAACCUCUUACUUCCAAUUGGAAACCACCUAACUUUGAUGAAAGUAAAACAAUAUGUAGUUGCUUCAUUAAGAUUCAUUCAUUGGAUAGUUGGGGUCCCCUUGGAAGUUGGAACCUUCAGUUAGUUUUCUUUAUUGAUAUCUUGUUNNNNNNNNNNNNNNNNNNNNNNNNNNNNNNNNNNNNNNNNNNNNNNNNNNNNNNNNNNNNNNNNNNNNNNNNNNNNNNNNNNNNNNNNNNNNNNNNNNNNGAUUUAGACACCACCCAUGCUACCCCAUUUUAAGCAACAGAUUCAAAACUAGUGGACCAGAAACCGAAUAAAGAAGUCUUACACUGUGCAGGAGCAGGAGUUUCUCAUUUGUUAACUUCUCCAUUGACAAUGCUAGCUCCAUAGCUGAAUCAAUAAUCAUAGAUAAUUGAAUGAGUUCCCAAAAAAAACAAAAAAAAAUUUAAAAUGUUCAAGACACAAGCAAGUAGAACAAAUACAACAAGCUUGUGAAUAUGCCAGGUGAAAGUCAAAUAAACUAUGGAAGAAGGGUGGGCAGUCCUAUUAAGGUGGUGUUUUUUCUGUAAAGAAACACAAUUUCCGGAGUAGUAAAAUAUGAACAAACGACACCCAAAGAAAGAACAAGAAAAAGGAAAUAAAAGAUUUUGCAUUACUCAAAUCAAACAUCUUUCAUUCUGGAGGUUACAGAGUACGAAACAAUGUCCUCAAGUAAUGCAUACUUAAAUUCAACUUAUUCCAAAUUGCACGGUAUGAGGGAGACCCAAACAGGAAUUAAGGGGCACGUGAAUAGUUUGAUGGAGGGCCUUUUGUGUGUUUGUGGAUUCGGGAGCAAAAAGAAAUGACACCUUAAAUUUAUACUUUUGAAGAACUAAAACCUAGACAAAUGCAUGCCAUAUAAAAUAAUGCAGGUGUGUGCGAACACGCACACAUGUCAACUCAUAAGCAUGGAGAAGAACCGGAAAGAAACUUACAGUACAAUGCAUCUCCCUUCUCAGCAUGAUCAAACUCUGAAGGGGUCAUCAGGAUAGGAUGUAGCUUUACUUUUCCUCCUCUUUUGUUCUAGUAAUUAUCAGAAAGCAUAGUAUUAGAUAUGCAAAACCAAGAAAGAAUAAGUAAAUUAAGAAGGCAACAAAUCACUUCUAGAAAACCUGGUAUUCCAUCAGUUUCUCAGCAUGCUGUCUUUCUUCUUCACUUGACUCCUUGAAGAAUCUGAAGCAACAGGAUGAUACAUUAACUCUAAUAAUUAGAACAAUCAAGCAGUAUGAGAGAAUUUAUGGUUAUUGGGGUUACUUGGCAAGGCCCCUGAGAGCAAUGUUGUCCCUGUCGAAGUAUGCAAACAUUGAAUGAUACACAUAAGACACAUUGUAUUCCACACUGUUAUAUCAAACAAAGCAAGAAAAAGGUCAGUAAGAAGAAAAUUUUAACUGAAACAGGAACUAGUGAUAACGAUGAUAAUGAUGCAUGAAAAAUCCUGGACCUGGACGAAGAAACAAAGUGAAUGAAAAGUAAAGUGAAUUUUACAGAGUAGAAUGGUAUCCCCCCUCUCAGGUCAGCCCUGCUCUUUAAAACAAACACAUGCCCACAGCUUGAGAUUCGCAGCUAUAACUCCUAAAGUCCCAUUGUCUUUUCCUGGGAAUCCACUUAAGCAACUCAAAGAGAAUUGCUCUGUCCGGACUAAGGAGACUACUUUACAAGGCUAUAUCAGAAAGCAUUUUGUAUGGUCUCAAUGUAGUAUGUUUUACAAAGAUAGCAGAAUACUGAUAAGAGCAGAAUAUGAAACAAUCUCCAUCUUGGCUUUAAUUUCUACCAAACCUCCCCAUGAUGGUCCCAUUGUCUUCUCCACCACAAUCCCCUAAGCAUCCAAAUCAACUAAACUACAUGUUGAUCACUAAUGAGAAAAAAUAGAAAAAAUUUUAACCUCUCCCAGGAAGUUGAAUUCCAUUUAUUUUAUUUUUAGCACCUUCUGUAGACCAUGAUGAGUUAAAGAGUCUAUGAAUCAUGUCCUGCCAUAGACCAAUUUUCAUCUUCCUAUUGAAUUAUCCACCCUAAACUUAAUUUAUCUAGCAUCAUAAACCAAACCACUAACUCGAGUUGAACUUGGCUUGGGCUCAAGAGCAUGAAGAGCUAGACAAUGGCUCAUUACGCAUGGUUGAAUGAUCAUUUCUCAUGCUUGACCAAACUUAACUAGAUCAUGUAAAUUUGUAACUAUGGUUAUAGUAAAACUAAACAUUAAGUUAAGAUCACAUAUAUGGUAGUCAACAAAAAGGUAGAGCCAACCAAAGCUUGGAUUAGGUACAGUAAUUUAUUGUGAGCCUCAUUUAGAUCAAGAUCAGCCAGCACCUAGUUAAGCUUGCUCAGGUUGUAGAUAAAAUUCAAUGCGAAGUUAAAGCAGAUGCAUAAAACGAACAACAAGGAGGGACAGAAGGCAGGAAGCUUAACAUGAUCUUCCUAAAAUUGGGCUGUUUCUUAAGAAGGGAUGUGUUGCAAACUCUCUCUUUGUUAAGAAUCAAAAGUACCAGGCAUUGAUGAAUGUGAAAACCAAGUCAGGAACAAUAAACAAGUAGAACCCAAUUCUCAAAACAGGGACUAGAAGACAGGGUUCUCUGGGAAAACAUAUUAAGUUUAAGGUUUGGAGUUGGUGGGCGAUAAUGGCAGAAGAAAAAAAAAUGAGAACACAAAGUCAAUGCAACUUGAAGCUUUAAGCAAAGAAACAAAGAGGGGGAAAGCAAAAAAUUGGAAAGGAAUUUCGAACAGUUUUGUUUAUUUAUUUUAGAAAUAAUAAGAAAAAAUAAUUAUAAUAAAAACUAUUUAAAGUCUUCAUAUUUUUAAUUUAUAAUAAUAUUUGAGAAAUAAAAUAAAAUAAAAUAUUAAAUUUAAGUUUAAU
This 27154-nucleotide long non-coding RNA is filed under the name Vitis vinifera (wine grape). RNAcentral's name for it is "long non-coding RNA (VVIN_LNC002475)". Lineage: Eukaryota; Viridiplantae; Streptophyta; Magnoliopsida; Vitales; Vitaceae. The record is from RNAcentral.